CUGUGACUUCUCCUUGUCAGA
RNAcentral lists this microRNA (21 nucleotides) under Gallus gallus (chicken). RNAcentral describes it as "gga-miR-1574-5p". The record is from miRBase by way of RNAcentral. Lineage: Eukaryota; Metazoa; Chordata; Aves; Galliformes; Phasianidae.